Molecule: ribosomal RNA, 508 nt
Filed under: uncultured bacterium
Lineage: Bacteria
Description: partial 16S ribosomal RNA
Rfam family: Bacterial small subunit ribosomal RNA
Source: RNAcentral
AACGAACGCUGGCGGCGUGGAUAAGACAUGCAAGUCGAACGCGAUUUUCCCGGUUAGCAAUAACUGGGAAAAUUGAGUGGCGAAUGGGUGCGUAACACGUGGGAAUUUACCCGGAAGUGGGGGAUAGCUCGUCGAAAGGCGAAUUAAUACCGCAUGUGCCCGUGAGGGCAAAGUGGGGGACCGCAAGGCCUCACGCUACCGGAGAAGCCCGCGUCCUAUCAGCUAGUUGGCGGGGUAACGGCCCACCAAGGCGAAGACGGGUAGCUGGUCUGAGAGGACGACCAGCCACACUGGAACUGAGACACGGUCCAGACACCUACGGGUGGCAGCAGUCGAGGAUUUUUCUCAAUGGGGGCAACCCUGAAGGAGCGACGCCGCGUGGAGGAUGAAGGGCUUCGGCUUGUAAACUCCUGUCACCGACGAACAAGGCAUCCGGUUGAACAUUCCGGGUGAUUGAUGGUAGUCGGAGAGGAAGGGGCGACUAACUCUGUGCCGGCAGCCGCGGUAA